AUUGAACGCUGGCGGCAGGCUUAACACACGCAAGUCGAACGGCAGCACGGGAGCAAUCCUGGUGGCGAGUGGCGAACGGGUGAGUAAAGUAUCGGAACGUGCCCAGUCGUGGGGGAUAACGUAGCGAAAGUUACGCUAAUACCGCAUACGAUCUAUGGAUGAAAGCGGGGGAUCGCAAGACCUCGCGCGAUUGGAGCGGCCGAUAUCAGAUUAGGUAGUUGGUGGGGUAAAGGCUCACCAAGCCGACGAUCUGUAGCUGGUCUGAGAGGACGACCAGCCACACUGGGACUGAGACACGGCCCAGACUCCUACGGGAGGCAGCAGUGGGGAAUUUUGGACAAUGGGCGAAAGCCUGAUCCAGCCAUGCCGCGUGCAGGAUGAAGGCCUUCGGGUUGUAAACUGCUUUUGUACGGAACGAAAAGGUUUGGCCUAAUAAGCUGAGCUCAUGACGGUACCGUAAGAAUAAGCACCGGCUAACUACGUGCCAGCAGCCGCCGCGG
This 500-nucleotide ribosomal RNA is filed under the name uncultured bacterium. Its description in RNAcentral is "partial 16S ribosomal RNA". It matches the Rfam family "Bacterial small subunit ribosomal RNA", at positions 29 to 523 of the family's 1533-position model. The record is from RNAcentral.